GUGGGGAAUCUUGCGCAAUGGCCGAAAGGCUGACGCAGCGACGCCGCGUGUGGGAUGAAGGUCUUCGGAUUGUAAACCACUGUCGGGAGGGACGAAGCUCUGACGGUACCUCCAAAGGAAGCACCGGCUAACUCUGUGCCAGCAGCCGCGGUAAUACAGAGGGUGCGAGCGUUGUCCGGAAUCACUGGGCGUAAAGGGCGCGUAGGUGGCCUGAUAAGUCGGGGGUGAAACGCUGCGGCUCAACCGCAGCACUGCCUUCGAGACUGUCAGGCUUGAGCACGGUAGAGGCUGGUGGAAUUCCCGGUGUAGCGGUGGAAUGCGUAGAGAUCGGGAAGAACAUCGGUGGCGAAGGCGGCCAGCUGGGCCGUUGCUGACACUGAGGCGCGACAGCGUGGGGAGCAAACAGGAUUAGAUACCCUAGUAGUCC
This 427-nucleotide ribosomal RNA is filed under the name uncultured bacterium. RNAcentral describes it as "bacterial SSU rRNA". It matches the Rfam family "Bacterial small subunit ribosomal RNA", at positions 354 to 796 of the family's 1533-position model. The record is from RNAcentral.